AGAGUUGAUCAUGGCUCAGGAUGAACGCUAGCUACAGGCUUAACACAUGCAAGUCGAGGGGCAGCAUGAUCAAAGCUUGCUUGAUGAUGGCGACCGGCGCACGGGUGAGUAACGCGUAUCCAACCUUCCCCUUAGUAGGGCAUAGCCCGGCGAAAGUCGGAUUAAUACCCUAUGUUAUUCGUCGAGGACAUCUGAAGUGAAUCAAAGAUUUAUCGCUAAGGGAUGGGGAUGCGUCUGAUUAGGUUGUUGGCGGGGUAACGGCCCACCAAGCCAUCGAUCAGUAGGGUUCUGAGAGGAAGGUCCCCCACAUUGGUACUGAGACACGGACCAAACUCCUACGGGAGGCAGCAGUGAGGAAUAUUGGUCAAUGGGCGAGAGCCUGAACCAGCCAAGUAGCCGUGCAGGAUGACUGCCCUAUGGGUUGUAAACUGCUUUUAUACGGGGAUAAAGUGAGGUAUGCAUACCUUUUUGUAGGUACCGUAUGAAUAAGGACCGGCUAAUUCCGUGCCAGCCGCGGC
This 518-nucleotide ribosomal RNA is filed under the name uncultured bacterium. RNAcentral's name for it is "bacterial SSU rRNA". It matches the Rfam family "Bacterial small subunit ribosomal RNA", at positions 8 to 518 of the family's 1533-position model. The record is from RNAcentral.